This is a non-coding RNA of Bacteroides sp. CAG:770, 94 nucleotides long. Lineage: Bacteria; Pseudomonadati; Bacteroidota; Bacteroidia; Bacteroidales; Bacteroidaceae. The record is from Rfam.
GCGAACAUUACGGGGUGCUGACAAAUCGGCUGAGAUUAUACCCAUUGAACCUGAUGCAGAUAAUGCUGCCGCAGGGAUACAAUUCACUUGAAAA